AUUUUGAACAACACCAAUUAAUGCCCACAUCAGAUCUUUCCAUAAGCAAAAAAGGAGGGGGGUGGGGGUGGGGGUGGGGGGGUUUAUUUUGCCACCAUCAAAUCCCACUUGUAUUUUGUCUCCUUUUGAGUCCAGCUUGAGACUUCACUAAUUGAUAGCUAUAACACAGUUAACUGGUACCCCAGAAUCUGUGCGCUAAAUUAAUUGCUUUUGCAUUUGAAUUUUCUUUGUAAAGCUUCUUUCUGCCAAUUUGAUAGCGACUUGCCAGUUCUUCUUCCUGUAAUUCCAAGUUUGGAUUAUGGGGUAAUCUUUUACUGGGCACUUUCUAGCUUUCUUUCAAUUUCUGAGUUUCUGAUUUAAAUCAAUACCAAACAGAGGCUUAAUCUUGGAAUUUUAGAAAGGGUUUCUUGCUUGAUUACAGAGCAUAUUUUUCUUGGUUUUCUCUACUCAAAUUGUCAUAUUUUUGGCUCUGGUAUUAUACUUGUUGAUGGGAAAGUGGGUGUUCUUGUGUAUCGCAAUUAUGUGCUUGCUUAUUCUUUUUUCACUGGAGACCUGUAUGGCUAGUGUUCAAAAUAAAGGCAAAUUGAAGCCAGGUUUUCAGGGAUCUCAAAUGUUUUGGAUCGACAAUGAUGGGUUGUUUCUAGUAUCCAACAAUUCAAAUUUUUCUUUUGGAUUCUCCACUACCCAAGAUGUCACUUUGUUUCUCCUUGUCGUCGUUCACAAGGACAGUUCAACUAUAGUGUGGUCUGCUAAUAGAGGCUCCCCAGUCGGAAAUUCAGAUAGUUUCGUGUUUGAUGAUAAUGGGAACGCUUAUUUACAACGCGGUGGAUCCACAAUUUGGUCCACGGGUACCUCUAACAAAGAUGUUUCUGCAAUGGAAUUGCUUGACUCGGGAAAUCUGGUUUUGCAUGGGAAUGAUGGAAGUGUAGUUUGGCAGUGUUUUGACCAUCCCACAGAUACUCUACUUCCAAACCAGGAAUUUAGUGAAGGGAUGAAACUUGUAAGUGAUCCUGGAUCCAAUAACUUAAGCUAUUCCCUUGAGAUUAAGUCUGGGGAUAUGAUUCUCUCCACGAGCUUCAAACGUCCACAGCCAUACUGGGCUGCGGGAAGGGAUGCACGAAGAACCAUCAAUAAAGAUGGCAAUAAUGUCACUUCAGCAACUCUUAAUGCUAAUUCUUGGAGAUUUUAUGAUGGAAAUAAGGUCUUGCUCUGGCAAUUUAUUGUUGACGAUAAUAUUGCAAAUGCAACUUUGGUUGCUGUUUUGGGAUCUGAUGGUUUCAUUACUUUCGUCAAGCUUCAAGGAGGUUCUACUAAUCCCUCCUCAAUAAGAAUACCUGAGGAUCAGUGCAGCAGACCGGCAGCUUGUGAUCCCUAUUAUGUUUGUUAUACUGGCAACAAGUGCCAGUGUCCAUCAGCACUUCCCUCUUGCAAAUUUGGAGCUCUCCCUGCAUGCAAUAAUUCACAGGAUUCUGUGGAGCUUGUAAGUCCAGGUGAUGGCCUCAGCUACUUUGCACUUGGGUUUGUCCAACCAUUCUCAAAAACCGAUUUACAAGGCUGCAAGGAUUCUUGCCUUAGAAAUUGCUCUUGUGGCGCUAUGUUCUUUGACAGCGAUUUGGGGAAUUGUUUCCUGUUUGAUCAGAUGGGAAGCAUGCAAGGAUCCCUCAACAGCGCUGGCUAUGCUUCUUACAUCAAAAUCUCCAUUAAUGGAGGAAACAGGAGAGGCAGUGACAAGAAGCGCUUUCCACUAGUCAUUAUCAUUGUAAUUUUGAUAGUAUUUGUUAUGCUGAGUUUGCUUUUAGCUGGAUUUUAUUACCGCAAGAAGAACAAGAAAGUGCCCACAUACCAAAAAGAGAGCUCGGAAGAGGACAAUUUCUUGGAAGGUUUAUCUGGGAUGCCAGUCCGUUUCAGAUAUAAAGAUCUUGAGAUUGCAACAAGUAACUUCACUGUGAAACUAGGGCAGGGAGGGUUUGGUUCAGUUUAUCAGGGGACUCUCCCUGAUGGGACUCGAGUGGCUGUGAAAAAGUUGGAAGGUAUUGGUCAGGGUAAGAAAGAAUUUAGGGCUGAAGUUAGUAUCAUAGGCACCAUCCAUCAUCUCCAUCUGGUGAGGCUCAAAGGCUUCUGUGCUGAAGGAAGCCACCGGCUUCUUGUAUACGAGUACAUGGCAAACGGAUCAUUAGAUAAAUGGCUUUUCAGGAAAAACAAAGCAGAGUUGAUGUUGGAUUGGGAUACAAGAUACAGUAUUGCAGUGGGUACGGCUAAAGGCCUGGCUUACCUCCACGAGGACUGUGAUGUAAAGAUAGUUCACUGUGAUAUCAAACCUGAAAACGUUCUUCUUGAUGAACACUUCAUGGCCAAAGUUUCAGACUUUGGCCUGGCUAAGCUUAUGACUAGAGAGCAGAGCCGUGUUUUCACGACAUUAAGGGGCACCAGGGGGUACCUUGCCCCGGAGUGGAUCACAAAUUACGCCAUAUCAGAGAAGAGCGAUGUUUAUAGCUAUGGAAUGGUGUUGCUUGAAUUGAUCAGUGGCAGAAGAAACUAUGAUCCUGCAGAAAGUUCAGAGAAAUCCCAUUUUCCAUCCUUUGCUUUCAAGAUGAUGGGAGAAGGAAAAUUGAAGGACAUCAUUGACACUAAACUGAAGAUGGAUGUAGAGGACGAGAGGUUUGCCACAGCAAUCAAAGUCGCUUUGUGGUGUAUACAGGAUGAUAUGUACCUCAGGCCGCCAAUGGCAAAAGUAGUGCAAAUGCUUGAGGGGGUCUAUCCUGUCCUCCCACCACCAACUGCGUCUCAACUUGGUUCUCGAAUGUUCUCGAAUUUGUUCAAAUCAAAUAGUGAGGAGGGCACUUCAUCGGGACCGUCGGACUGUAAUAGUGAUGCUUAUCUUUCGGCAGUUCGCCUUUCAGGUCCUAGAUAGAUGAUGAGUCAUUGACAUGUACAAGGUUUUCAUAUUUUUGUCGGUUUUCUUGUAUACUUGUUGAUUAGUAGUUCAAAACUUUGCAAUACAAGUCACAGUGAGAGCCCAAUAUUCCAAUGUUGCAAAAUAUAAGAGUCGAGAUGAGAACCAUGUUCCCUCCAUCUCCGGUUACGCGACUAAGUUGGGAAUCUAGAGCAGGGCAUUUCAUAAUCUACUUUUGUGUACAAAUAAGAUGAAAACAAGAGAACAAUGACAAAAUUGGAUAAGAAUAACCAAAGGACG
Molecule: long non-coding RNA, 3193 nt
Filed under: Olea europaea subsp. europaea
Lineage: Eukaryota; Viridiplantae; Streptophyta; Magnoliopsida; Lamiales; Oleaceae
Source: RNAcentral